Molecule: unclassified non-coding RNA, 253 nt
Filed under: Basidiomycota sp.
Lineage: Eukaryota; Fungi; Basidiomycota
Description: partial contains small subunit ribosomal RNA, internal transcribed spacer 1, and 5.8S ribosomal RNA
Rfam family: Eukaryotic small subunit ribosomal RNA (bases 1-47)
Source: RNAcentral
AAAGUCGUAACAAGGUUUCCGUAGGUGAACCUGCGGAAGGAUCAUUAUUGAUUCAAGAGGGAUGUGCUGGCUCUCGGGCAAAUUGUGCACUCUCUCAAAAAAUCUAAAUUCACCUGUGCACUCUUGAUAGACAAAAUAGACACGGGAACGUAGUCUAUCCUUGUUUAUUGUUUCUAUACACACCCUUAUAUCUUGAAUACAAUGAAUAUAAUUGAAAUAAAAACAACUUUCAACAAUGGAUCUCUUGGUUCUC